RNAcentral lists this small RNA (2122 nucleotides) under Pongo abelii (Sumatran orangutan). Its description in RNAcentral is "retained intron". The record is from RNAcentral. Lineage: Eukaryota; Metazoa; Chordata; Mammalia; Primates; Hominidae.
AGAGCCGCCCAAGGGCUGGCGAUGGCGUACUUGCCGUGGAGACUGGCGCAGCGUUGGUGUCCGAGGUCACUAGUUUUCCGGCAGUUCAGCUGCACAUGAAUAGAACAGCAAUGAGAGCCAGUCAGAAGGACUUUGAAAAUGCAGUGAAUCAAGUGAAACUCUUGAAAAAGGAUCCAGGAAACGAAGUGAAGCUAAAACUCUACGCGCUGUAUAAGCAGGCCACUGAAGGACCUUGUAACAUGCCCAAACCGGGUAUAUUUGACUUGAUCAACAAGGCCAAAUGGGAUGCAUGGAAUGCCCUUGGCAGCCUGCCCAAGGAAGCUGCCAGGCAGAACUAUGUGGAUUUGGUGUCCAGUUUGAGUCCUUCAUUGGAAUCCUCUAGUCAGGUGGAGCCUGGAACAGACAGGAAAUCAACUGGGUUUGAAACUCUGGUGGUGACCUCCGAAGAUGGCAUCACAAAGAUCAUGUUCAACCGGCCCACAAAGAAAAAUGCCAUAAACACUGAGAUGUAUCAUGAAAUUAUGCAUGCACUUAAAGCCGCCAGCAAGGAUGACUCAAUCAUCACUGUUUUAACAGGAAAUGGUGACUAUUACAGUAGUGGGAAUGAUCUGACUAACUUCACUGAUAUUCCCCCUGGUGGAGUAGAGGAGAAAGCUAAAAAUAAUGCCGUUUUACUGAGGUAAGAGUAACUGACCUUUGUCUGAUCCCAGAGGGCCCGUUCUUAGUCAUCAAAGUGGUACUUAGUGAGCAAAAGUGCAAUAUCUACUUCUCUGUGUCAGUGCAGUUAAUUGUGACUUUGGACAAGCAUAUUUCUCUAAACUGCCUCCAUCCAUAGGUGGGCAUUCAUUCUUUCUCUUUGACCUCUGUUACCUGUUCAUCCUGCUGGUCUCAUGAGAUUGGACUGGAAAACAUAAAAGUGAGCUAUAGUCGUAAACAAAAUUAUCUUGCAUUGAGGCAGAGGAAUUUAGCCAAUUCUCAUCCAGCCAGAGGAAUGGGAGAUUUCCAUGAAUGCUGAAAGUAGGAGACUUGGAGGAGUCUUGUAAAACACAGGAGGAGGUCAUGAAGGCUUUCCUCUUUAUUUCUGCCAAAUCUGUAAUUCCCACUUGCUGUGAUAUUGCAGCAUGUGCUCAGUCACCCAACCUAAUCUCUAAGACUGCGGCUGGUUUACAGCCCUGAACUCACUGUCCAGAAUACAAGAUUCAAACCAGAGUUGACCCGUAGGUCUCACUGGUUGGUCUUCCAUCCACUGCCAUUCAGACAGAUGCCCUGGAUGAAUCUGGUGCAGAAGACCAGGGAAGUGACAGGACAGGGAGGCACUGCUGGUGGUGGCUGUGGAAAUACCCAGCCUAACAGAAGGCUUUAUCUCAGAGUCAGACUGUCUUGCCCAUGCUUCAGUCAUGCUGCUUUGGCACAUUUAAUGAUUUUGUGUUUCCAUUUCUGUAGGGAAUUUGUGGACUGUUUUAUAGAUUUUCCUAAGCCUCUGAUUGCAGUGGUUAAUGGUCCCGCUGUGGGCAUCUCCGUCACCCUCCUUGGGCUAUUCGAUGCCGUGUAUGCAUGUGACAGGGCAACAUUUCAUACACCAUUUAGUCACCUAGGCCAAAGUCCGGAAGGAUGCUCCUCUUACACUUUUCCGAAGAUAAUGAGCCCAGCCAAGGCAACAGAGAUGCUUAUUUUUGGAAAGAAGUUAACAGCGGGAGAGGCAUGUGCUCAAGGACUUGUUACUGAAGUUUUCCCUGAUAGCACUUUUCAGAAAGAAGUCUGGACCAGGCUGAAGGCAUUUGCAAAGCUUCCCCCAAAUGCUGUGAGAAUUUCAAAAGAGGUAAUCAGGAAGAGAGAGAGAGAAAAACUACACGCUGUUAAUGCUGAAGAAUGCAGUGUCCUUCAGGGAAGAUGGCUAUCAGAUGAAUGCACGAAUGCUGUGGUGAACUUCUUAUCCAGAAAAUCAAAACUGUGAUGACCGCUACAGCAGAGUAAAGCACGUCCAAGGAAGGAUGUGCUGUUACCUCUGAUUUCCAGUACUGGAACUAAAUAAGCUUCAUUGUGCCUUUUGUAGUGCUAGAAUAUCAAUUACAAUGAUGAUAUUUCACUACAGCCCUGAUGAAUAAAAAGUUUUGUAAAACAA